Molecule: ribosomal RNA, 427 nt
Filed under: uncultured bacterium
Lineage: Bacteria
Description: partial 16S ribosomal RNA
Rfam family: Bacterial small subunit ribosomal RNA
Source: RNAcentral
UGGGGAAUAUUGCACAAUGGGCGCAAGCCUGAUGCAGCCAUGCCGCGUGUGUGAAGAAGGCCUUCGGGUUGUAAAGCACUUUCAGCGAGGAGGAAGGGUAGUGUGUUAAUAGCACAUUGCAUUGACGUUACUCGCAGAAGAAGCACCGGCUAACUCCGUGCCAGCAGCCGCGGUAAUACGGAGGGGGCAAGAGUUAAUCGGAAUUACUGGGCGUAAAGCGCACGCAGGCGGUUUGUUAAGUCAGAUGUGAAAUCCCCGCGCUUAACGUGGGAACUGCAUUUGAAACUGGCAAGCUAGAGUCUUGUAGAGGGGGGUAGAAUUCCAGGUGUAGCGGUGAAAUGCGUAGAGAUCUGGAGGAAUACCGGUGGCGAAGGCGGCCCCCUGGACAAAGACUGACGCUCAGGUGCGAAAGCGUGGGGAGCAAACA